GUGCUUGCUUUGGCAGCACAUAUACUAAAAUUAGAAUGAUACACAGUAGAUUGGCAUAGUUUCUGCACAAGGAUAACAUGCAAAUUUAUGAAGCAUUUCAUAUUUUU
This is a small nuclear RNA of Sarcophilus harrisii (Tasmanian devil), 107 nucleotides long. The record is from Ensembl. Lineage: Eukaryota; Metazoa; Chordata; Mammalia; Dasyuromorphia; Dasyuridae.